RNAcentral lists this ribosomal RNA (410 nucleotides) under uncultured bacterium. Its description in RNAcentral is "bacterial SSU rRNA". It matches the Rfam family "Bacterial small subunit ribosomal RNA", at positions 102 to 509 of the family's 1533-position model. The record is from RNAcentral.
ACGGGUGAGUAAUAUAUCGGAACGUACCCAGGAGUGGGGGAUAACGUAGCGAAAGUUACGCUAAUACCGCAUACGUCCUAAGGGAGAAAGCAGGGGAUCCAAGACCUUGUGCUCAUGGAGCGGCCGAUAUCUGAUUAGCUAGUUGGUGGGGUAAAAGCCUACCAAGGCAACGAUCAGUAGCUGGUCUGAGAGGACGACCAGCCACACUGGAACUGAGACACGGUCCAGACUCCUACGGGAGGCAGCAGUGGGGAAUUUUGGACAAUGGGGGCAACCCUGAUCCAGCAAUGCCGCGUGAGUGAAGAAGGCCUUCGGGUUGUAAAGCUCUUUUGUCAGGGAAGAAAAGGCUGUGGCUAAUAUCCACGGCUCAUGACGGUACCUGAAGAAUAAGCACCGGCUAACUACGUGCC